RNAcentral lists this ribosomal RNA (778 nucleotides) under Streptomyces pseudogriseolus. RNAcentral describes it as "bacterial SSU rRNA". It matches the Rfam family "Bacterial small subunit ribosomal RNA", at positions 1 to 801 of the family's 1533-position model. The record is from RNAcentral. Lineage: Bacteria; Bacillati; Actinomycetota; Actinomycetes; Kitasatosporales; Streptomycetaceae.
UAGAGUUUGAAUCCUGGCUCAGGACGAAACGCUGGCGGGCGUGCUUAACACAUGCAAGUCGAACGAUGAACCACUUCGGUGGGGAUUAGUGGCGAACGGGUGAGUAACACGUGGGCAAUCUGCCCUGCACUCUGGGACAAGCCCUGGAAACGGGGUCUAAUACCGGAUACUGAUCAUCUUGGGCAUCCUUGGUGAUCGAAAGCUCCGGCGGUGCAGGAUGAGCCCGCGGCCUAUCAGCUUGUUGGUGAGGUAAUGGCUCACCAAGGCGACGACGGGUAGCCGGCCUGAGAGGGCGACCGGCCACACUGGGACUGAGACACGGCCCAGACUCCUACGGGAGGCAGCAGUGGGGAAUAUUGCACAAUGGGCGAAAGCCUGAUGCAGCGACGCCGCGUGAGGGAUGACGGCCUUCGGGUUGUAAACCUCUUUCAGCAGGGAAGAAGCGAAAGUGACGGUACCUGCAGAAGAAGCGCCGGCUAACUACGUGCCAGCAGCCGCGGUAAUACGUAGGGCGCGAGCGUUGUCCGGAAUUAUUGGGCGUAAAGAGCUCGUAGGCGGCUUGUCGCGUCGGUUGUGAAAGCCCGGGGCUUAACCCCGGGUCUGCAGUCGAUACGGGCAGGCUAGAGUUCGGUAGGGGAGAUCGGAAUUCCUGGUGUAGCGGUGAAAUGCGCAGAGAUCAGGAGGAACACCGGUGGCGAAGGCGGAUCUCUGGGCCGAUACUGACGCUGAGGAGCGAAAGCGUUCUAUUGUCAGAUUAGAUACCCUGGUAGUCCACGCC